Felis catus (domestic cat) is the source of this 1185-nucleotide long non-coding RNA. RefSeq lists it as uncharacterized. The transcript is spliced from 3 exons. The record is from RefSeq and is a predicted model, not a curated record. NCBI's taxonomy places the organism in Eukaryota, Metazoa, Chordata, Mammalia, Carnivora, Felidae.
ACCAACACACAUUUACUGUUCAUCCAAAAAGUGUACAAUUAAUGUUGACAGCUUAGAAUAGCCUCCCUUCUAGUUUGCACAGUAAACUCAGUAAAAUAUGCACCGUUCUCUCCACACAAAUGGCCUCUGUAAACUCAAAACAGCAAUCUCCCAUUUUAAUGACAGCUGGGAUGUCAAAAUAAUAAGCAUUUAAUAUAAAUUUUGAAGCUGCUGCCGGAACCCUAUGACGAAGGAUUACUACGACAGAAUAACUGUUUGUAAAACUCAGGUAACAAGCACAAUAGCAUGGUGAUCCAGCAAAGGAACGAAGAAAAUUUUCAAUUCUUUCCUUGAAAAAAGGGGGAAGAUGAAGUCUUCCCAUAAAUAACUGCUCAACGAACCUGCCUUGACUUCCUUUUAAAGACCUUGAAUUUUUACCAAAAGUUUUGUAAAUAAUCAAAUGGAGCAUAAUUGUCAGUUUUCCUACCCAAUCAUCAUUUCUCAUUGCAAUCACGUGACUGGGAAAGGAAACAGCUCCAUAACAGCAAGCCAGGCCCUAAGAGGGAAGCCAUGGUUUUCUCUCGUUGCCCAUAAACAAUUUCAAAGAUCACCACCGUCAGCCACGGUCCCUCCAAACCACAAUGGACAUGGACCCAAACAAGAGCAGGCCUAUUAAUCAUAUGUGAGCAUAGACAACAAGUAAGAAGUCUGUCCAAACCCCCAAAUGAGCAAGUUUUCCUCUUUGCAUUACAAUGUGACUUACUGUUGCUUCUCUACCAAUUGUUGCUUUAGGCCUGAUCCAUUUCCCCACCAUUUACCACAAACAUUGUUGAGAUGCAGGAUCACAGAACGACCUUGCUGUCCCAAGGCACUCAAGGCAAAGCAAAACACCUGAACCCUCUCCCAAAUCACCCAGCGGCCGCCCAGACCUCCUAACACCCUGUCCCCGAGGAGGCCCUGUUUCUCACGGUCCCCGUAAGGACCUGAUAAACUCUCCUCAUUUCCUACAUAGAUGUCCCUGAUGAUCUCCAGCUAAAGGUCAACACGUGACUGCCAGCUGUGAUUCUGCACACACAGGAACCUGUACAUACGUGAGCCUGUGUAAACAUAUAUCAUUUCUUCGCAUUUCCAGGACUUACCUGUACGGAUGACCUCUCUUUCCCCUUACAUGUGUGUACGCGACACUAUCAGGAUAUAAGCUUAAGC